This 447-nucleotide ribosomal RNA is filed under the name uncultured bacterium. Its description in RNAcentral is "partial 16S ribosomal RNA". It matches the Rfam family "Bacterial small subunit ribosomal RNA", at positions 29 to 523 of the family's 1533-position model. The record is from RNAcentral.
AACGAACGCUGGCGGCAGGCUUAACACAUGCAAGUCGAACGCCCCGCAAGGGGAGCGACAGACGGGUGAGUAACGCGUGGGAAUCUACCGUACCCUACGGAAUAGCUCCGGGAAACUGGAAUUAAUACCGUAUACGCCCUACGGGGGAAAGAUUUAUCGGGGUAUGAUGAGCCCGCGUUGGAUUAGCUAGUUGGUGUGGUAAAGGCCUACCAAGGCGACGAUCCAUAGCUGGUCUGAGAGGAUGAUCAGCCACAUUGGGACUGAGACACGGCCCAAACUCCUACGGGAGGCAGCAGAGGGGAAUAUUGGACAAUGGGCGCAAGCCUGAUCCAGCCAUGCCGCGGGAGUGAUGAAGGUCUUAGGAUUGUAAAGCUCUUUCACCGAUGAAGAUAAUGACGGUAGUCGGAGAAGAAGCCCCGGCUAACUUCGUGCCAGCAGCCGCGGUAA